Molecule: ribosomal RNA, 927 nt
Filed under: Pseudomonas tolaasii
Lineage: Bacteria; Pseudomonadati; Pseudomonadota; Gammaproteobacteria; Pseudomonadales; Pseudomonadaceae
Description: bacterial SSU rRNA
Rfam family: Bacterial small subunit ribosomal RNA
Source: RNAcentral
CUACACAUGCAGUCGAGCGGUAGAGAGAAGCUUGCUGCUCUUGUGAGCGGCAGAGGGGUGAGUAAUGCCAAUGACUCUGCCUGGGCCUGGGGGAUAACGUCCGGAACCGGAAACUGAUACCGCAACCGUCCGACCGCAAAAGACCAGGGACCUUCAGGCCCUGGCCUCUCACAUGAGCCUGUGUCCGAAUAGCUUUUUCUUGAGGUAGAGGCUCAGCCUCGCCACGAUCCCUAUCUGGUCUGAGACGAAGAUCAUUCCCACUGGAACUGAAACUGGGACCAGACCCCUACUCCAAGCGGCAGUGGGGAAUAUUGGACAAUGGGCGAAAGCCUGAUCCUGACGUGCCCCGGGUGUGAGUAAGGUCAUCGGAUUGUGAUUCACUUUCAGUUUCGAGGAAGGGGAAUUGCCUAAUGCUUAUCUGUUUUGACAUUGCCGUUACUCUAAGAACAGGCUAACUCUGUGCCCGUGCCCGCGGUAAUACUAAGGGUGAAGGCGUUAAUCUUAAUUACAGUUACGUAAACCGCGCGCGCGUGGUUUGUUAAGUUGGAUGUGAAAUCCCCGGGCUCAACCUGGGAACUGCAUUCAAAACUGACUAGAGUAUGGUUGAGUGGAGUAGAAUUCCAGGUGUAGCGGUGAAAUGCGUAGAUAUAGGAAGGAACACCAGUGGCGAAGGCGACCACCUGGACUAAUACUGACACUCAGGUGCGAAAGCGUGCGGAGCAAACAGGAUUAGAUACCCUGCUAGUCCACGCUGUAAACGAUGUCAACUAGCCGUUGGAAGCCUUGAGCUUUUAGUGGCGCAGCUAACGCAUUAACCUGACCGCCUGUGGAGUACGGCCGUAAGGUUAAAACUCAAAUGACUUGACGGGGGCCCGCACAUGCAGUGGAGCAUGUGGUAUAAUUCGAAGCAACGCGAAGAACCUUACC